Manis pentadactyla (Chinese pangolin) is the source of this 1397-nucleotide long non-coding RNA. RefSeq lists it as uncharacterized. The transcript is spliced from 3 exons. NCBI's taxonomy places the organism in Eukaryota, Metazoa, Chordata, Mammalia, Pholidota, Manidae. The record is from RefSeq and is a predicted model, not a curated record.
GCAGAACCGCGCGGCGCAGAGGACGUAACGUCACACGGAAGCUGCGCUUUCAGCCCCGCCCCCAGGGGCGCGCGGUGCACGCUGGCCCUUGUAGUCCUUCGGGAGCGGAGCCCAGGGGUAGGGUGCAAAAGCCUGAUGAAGCUUGGGACCAUGCCUUUCUGCUCACUCCAGUACCAGCUGUUGGUGAAUUGUGAGCCUUCAACUCUGAGUUACCACCACCUUGCUGAAGAUGUGCCAUAGGAAGUGUUUCUUCUGAAAUACCACCUGCUCAUCUACCACUGUUGCCAAGUGCUCCUGGAGCUUAUGCUUAAACGCCAGCCAGGGUUGAAGAUGCUCAAUGCUCCCUGAUGUAGCUCCCAGUUGAGUAAUUCUGCAGGCUUGGAUCAUUUGAGCUGCUAGAGAAAUAGGAACCUGCUUGUGGGAGUGCAGACUGCCAACUCACAAACUGGGAUGUUUGCAGAGGUUCUGCUGAGGUUGGAAGAUAAGUCCUUUGCUGUGUGAGUCAUCAGGAAAAAGGUUUCUCCAGUUGCCUCCCUGUCAGGGAGCUGGGGCUCCAUUUUAAGAGCAGGCCUUCAGCCAGACUCUUGUCACGUUUGUAGUCCAUUUGAAUUGAGCUGGUGAGAAGACUCACUGUUCAGCAACCUUACUGUUCCCACCCAAUGUGUAACAGGCAUGUCAAAUUUACUGCAUCCAAACCAAAUGCUCAACCUUCCCUCUCAAACCUGUACGUCCUGGUUUUGCAUUUCAGUAAACUAAACUACUUUUUGGUUGUUCAGGCCCCAGAUCUUGAAAUCAUCCUCUUUUUCUCACAUCCCACAUCUGAUUGUUUAAUUGUCAACCUUGGAGAACACAAAGCCCAGUGCCUUGUAACUAUCUCCACUACUUCAAACCACCCAUGUCUCAGCCAUCACCUUUCUCCAGCCUGCUGCAACAGCUGAACUGGUCUCCCUUUCACUCUUGCCCUCCACCUAAAACACCUUUAAAAGCACGUCUCAAAACCCUCCAAUGGCUUCCCGUCUUACUCCCCUACAUGGCUCGGUGGGGCCUGUGUGAUCUGCCCCCUUGUUGACCUUUGCUUAGUUCUUCCCAGCCAGACCAGACCCUUUACUGCUCAAGUAUGAUCAGAUUUCCUUGUCUCCAGAUCUCUACCCAAAUGUCAGUUGAGAGGCCUUCCCAGAUUACAUAUUAACAGCACUGUCCUCAGCCACCUCUUUCUAAAGCAGCACCUUUGCUCCCUACUCCAUUCUUUUUAGUAUGUACUACUACCAGAAAUAAUAUGUAUUUACUUCUUUUUGUGUAGUUGCCCCUCAAGAAAGAAAUUAAGUUCCAUGAAAGCAGGGACUUGCCUUCUGUUUGCUGCUGUGUCCCCCAAUCCUUUAGAAGAAUGCCUGCCACAG